AUACGGAGGGUGCGAGCGUUAAUCGGAAUUACUGGGCGUAAAGCGUACGUAGGCGGUUGGUUAAGUUAGAUGUGAAAGCCCCGGGCUUAACCUGGGAACUGCAUUUAAAACUGGCGAACUAGAGUUGAGUAGAGGGGAGUGGAAUUUCAGGUGUAGCGGUGAAAUGCGUAGAGAUCAGAAGGAACACCAGUGGCGAAGGCGACUCCCUGGACUCGAACUGACGCUGAGGUACGAAAGCGUGGGUAGCAAACGGGAUUAGAUACCCCAGUAGUCC
RNAcentral lists this ribosomal RNA (274 nucleotides) under uncultured bacterium. Its description in RNAcentral is "partial 16S ribosomal RNA". It matches the Rfam family "Bacterial small subunit ribosomal RNA", at positions 523 to 796 of the family's 1533-position model. The record is from RNAcentral.